RNAcentral lists this ribosomal RNA (253 nucleotides) under uncultured bacterium. RNAcentral describes it as "partial 16S ribosomal RNA". It matches the Rfam family "Bacterial small subunit ribosomal RNA", at positions 524 to 776 of the family's 1533-position model. The record is from RNAcentral.
UACAGAGGGGGCAAGCGUUGUUCGGAAUUACUGGGCGUAAAGGGCGCGUAGGCGGCCUUCUAAGUCGAACGUGAAAUCCCCGGGCUCAACCCGGGAACUGCGUCCGAUACUGGGAGGCUUGAAUCCGGGAGAGGGAUGUGGAAUUCCAGGUGUAGCGGUGAAAUGCGUAGAUAUCUGGAGGAACACCGGUGGCGAAGACGGCAUCCUGGACCGGUAUUGACGCUGAGGCGCGAAAGCCAGGGGAGCAAACGGG